This 2711-nucleotide long non-coding RNA is filed under the name Malus domestica (apple). RNAcentral's name for it is "long non-coding RNA (MDOM_LNC017190)". The record is from RNAcentral. Lineage: Eukaryota; Viridiplantae; Streptophyta; Magnoliopsida; Rosales; Rosaceae.
UGUAUCCAUGUUUUGAUACAAUAAUUUUUUGGUUAUUUUUUAUGAAUGUACCCAUGUUUACACACACACACACAAUAGUAUAUUUAUAUUUUAAUAUUUUUAAUCCCACAAAUUAUGGUUUUUUAUUUAAAAUCUCAUUACUAUAAAUGACACACCCCGUCCCGAAGGAGGGCAUGCUGGCCGUCACGUGAGAGUGACGUAACCAUUUGCACAGUACGGAAGCUUUAAGAUACAAUUUAUAAGUUGAUACACCCGAAGGUGAGUCCUAAUUUUGUCCAAUCUGUCAGAACACCGUCGAAUUCCUCGUAGUCACCACACCUUUGUGAUUCCUGAACCUGGAGGGGCGCAAAACCAAAAUUGAGUGGGUCAGUAAAACAAUUCUUUUCCAAAUCCAAACAUUUCUCAAAACGUUGUAACCCCUCUCCGUAAAACCUGUAUACUUUCCCAGAAAUGUAAAAUAUAAAUAUACAUAUAUAUUCUCAAAACUUCAUUUUUACUAUCUCAACAUUAUCUCUUUAUCAAUCAUGCCAUGCCAUGUCAUCUCAACAUUUCUCAUAUUAAUUAUGCCAUGCCACAUCAUCUCAACAGUAAUAAGGUAUGAAUGCAUCAACAUAAUCAUAUCAGGUGCAAGAAAGUAAUCAACCGUAGGCCCUCUAAUAGCCCUAUACGGUUGAACCUAGAGCUCAAAAUCUAUCAUUAUCACUCUACCGGAGUCACCUCUGUGACCCGUCCGGCCUUCUGCACACAAGUUACGCUCUAGUGCUUCUCAUAAAUCAUCUGUGCACAUAAUCUAAGGUCACCCACCAGUCGGAAUCUCACUAACACUCUCGCGACUGGUCUGUCGUACCCACUCCGCGUGGACUGUACGACUAGCAUCUACUUGGAUCCAAGGCGAGCGUGCGAUGCGGUGAAUACUAUAAGCACUAAACCAUGGUGCAGGAUUUGAGCUCAAUAUAUAUCAUCAUCAUCAUAACAGUAAUUAAAUACUCAUCUGUGCGUCCACCGCACCAUUUCAUACAUAUGCAUCAUAAAUCAAUUCUUACCUGUGCGUCCACCGCACCAAUUCAUACAUAUGCAUCAUAAAUCAAUUCUUACCUGUGCGUCCACCGCACCAAUUCAUACAUAUGCAUCAUAAAUCAAUUCUUACAUGUGCGUCCACCGCACCAAUUCAUACAUAUGCAUCAUAUAUUAAUUCAUGCAUGGCAUUUCAACUCACAUUUCUAUAUACUUUUCAUAUCAAUUCUAUGCAUGGUAUUUCACUUCCCGUUUUUCCACAUAACUCAUAUGCAUUUCAUUUUAAACAUAUUUUCAUUUCAAUUCAAUUUCUGGGAAACGUCAAGUAUAUAUAUAUACGGAAAACAAAACUGCCCACUCACCUGGAGUUCGUCCAACAACUCCCUAGCACCACACAUCAAGGCGUCAUGACGAUCGCCGCCUAGAAUAGUAAUCAAAUCCAGGCUCAGAAUUCAUAUCGAUAGAAUAACAUAACUUAUAUAAAAUACGUCACUACGUUGAUCGAUCCGGAAGAUCUGCCACUCAGAUUUUAAAAUCCAUAACUUCCAGAGGUCCACACUAUACCUCUAGGACAACAUCCUAAAAUUUCAUUACCAUCCAACGGUCGGAUCUCCGUCAAUUUCCAAAACUAAGUGACGGUUAACAUUUUAUAUUAUGGACUUACAAUUCCAAUUCCGGAAGAUCCGUAACUCGGAUUCCCAAUCCGUAAGUUCCAAUAAUCCUCAAAUAUUACGUAUUACAACGUAUCAAAUUUUGGUGACGAUCCAACGGUCGGAUCAUCAAUUCACAUUUUCACCUAAAUGUGAAAACUAUAAAACGUUAUUUGAACACCUAACCAACAAUCCUCAAUAACUUUCUCAUACGGUGUUCAAUUUAGGUAUAUGAAUAUACCACAGUGAUCUAAUCGACGUCACGGACGUCGACAUAUUUUUAAAAUAAUUUUAUUUUUAUUUUUUAUUUUUACUGUAGCACCUUCUUCUUCCUUGGGUCGCCGGACUGGUUUUUUCCGGCGGCCGUUUUUCCGGGCAGUUUUUCAAAUUGCCAUAACUUUGUCAUUUCUCAACGAAAUCAAGUGAUUCAAAAACGAAAGUUGUAGCCCUUGAAGAGACAAAGAGAAUGGUACCUUGAAAAACACCUAGUUCGCCGUGGUUUGGCCGGAAACUGCCUCGAAAGCCUCGGAGGUCGCCGGAAACUGGGUAUUUUUCAAAUGAGUAUAACUUCUUCAAUACUCAACGAAAUUGAGUGAAACAAAAAGGAAAGUUGUAUUACUUGACGAGACGAAGAGAUUGAUACCUACCUCGACUCCUAAAUCGCCGGGGAUUCGCCGGAAAACGCCUCGAAAGCUCCGGCCAAACUUUGAACUUGUCGAUCUCCGUGUUCUUACGUCCAAAAACUUCCAACGAAGCACUCUGAGCUUCCUUGGGACCUUACUAAACUCGCUGUGAUCUUGUUUUAGCCUAAAACGUAACCAAUUCAAAGCUCAUGAACAGUGUCAUCUCACGGCAACUUUAGAACUAGGGUUUUCGAAGUGAAACUCACCUGAAAUUGGUAUCCCCGUGCUCGUGAAGUCCCCAGGAUCACGAUGGUGGUCUUAAAUGGAACGUUGGUACAAGAUUGUGGUGGUUCUUGGUGGUUGCCGUGAGUUCGAGAGUAAGAGAGAGAAUGAGAGAGUUUUCAGAAAAGAAUAAGAGAGAGAG